RNAcentral lists this ribosomal RNA (433 nucleotides) under uncultured bacterium. RNAcentral's name for it is "partial 16S ribosomal RNA". It matches the Rfam family "Bacterial small subunit ribosomal RNA", at positions 29 to 507 of the family's 1533-position model. The record is from RNAcentral.
AACGAACGCUGGCGGCAUGCCUAACACAUGCAAGUCGAACGAGACCUUCGGGUCUAGUGGCGCACGGGUGCGUAACGCGUGGGAACCUGCCCUUAGGUUCGGAAUAACUCCCCGAAAGGGGUGCUAAUACCGGAUAAUGUCUUCGGACCAAAGAUUUAUCGCCUUUGGAUGGGCCCGCGUUGGAUUAGCUAGUUGGUAGGGUAAAAGCCUACCAAGGCGACGAUCCAUAGCUGGUCUGAGAGGAUGAUCAGCCACACUGGGACUGAGACACGGCCCAGACUCCUACGGGAGGCAGCAGUGGGGAAUAUUGGACAAUGGGCGAAAGCCUGAUCCAGUAAUGCCGCGUGAGUGAUGAAGGCCUUAGGGUUGUAAAGCUCUUUUACCCGGGAUGAUAAUGACAGUACCGGGAGAAUAAGCUCCGGCUAACUCCGUA